AAUAAAUGCAGUCAUGAGUUUCCACGUCUAACUUUAAUCGUCCGUCUUAUUUAAAAUUUUUUUAUAAUUAGCAAUUUGUUGUUAUAAGAUGGUAAAACAUAAAUAGUAUUUUACUCGUGAUUUAUGUUUUUAAUUUUUUUUAAAAAAAAUUCAAAUAAAACGAAUGAUCAAAGUUGGGCGCUGAAAAUCAUGGCUGCACUUAUU
This is a microRNA precursor of Oryza sativa Indica Group (long-grained rice), 204 nucleotides long. It matches the Rfam family "MIR812 microRNA precursor family". Lineage: Eukaryota; Viridiplantae; Streptophyta; Magnoliopsida; Poales; Poaceae. The record is from Rfam.